CUCUCUCUCUGUAUGAAACUGUUUAUUGACGAGACAAAGCUUUUCAAAACCUCUCCUAAAAGUUCAAAAACUACGCGUCCUUUCCAACACACAACGAGCUCGCACACACCCUCCAUAGAAACCCUAGCUUUCCUUCCUCUCCUCUCUUCCUUUCACUUUCUUUGCUUUUUUUUUUCUCUUUGUUUUCUUCGGUCUUUAUUGGAGGUUGAAGAAGAAUCGGCUUUUUGCCUGUGAAUUUCGGAUUCCGAUUUUUUUGUUUUUUUGUUGUGGAUGGAUGAAAAGGAGAAAUCCGAUCCAGGAACUGAGUUUGGUAGCGAUUCGAGCUGGAAUCUUGGAGGAGACUCGGACAGCGUCUAUUUCCUCUCGAAUGACAGAGAGAGUAGUAUACUGAGCGAAUUCGGGUGGAAUUUUCAACCGGAGGAGGUGAACCGGACCGAUGAACGCGAACGGUUCGGGGACUUGGACCGGAUCGGAGGAGGAGGUGAAGAAGAGAGGUCGGAUUUAGCGGGGAAUUUGGGAGGGACGUUGCUAUUGCCGGAGAGCAGCGGCGAGUUGAGGACCAACAAUCCGGUGGCAAUUCAGGUGGGAUCGACGUCGAAUAAUCCGUCGGUGUCUUCGAGCUCUAGCGAGGAUCUGCCAGAGAAAUCUGCUGACUCCUCCGGUGGCAAACCUCCGACUGAUCAGAUACCGAACAAAGUUAGAAAAAAGGGGCAGAAGCGAAUCCGGCAGCCACGAUUUGCAUUUAUGACCAAGAGCGAAGUAGAUCAUUUAGAGGAUGGCUACCGUUGGAGGAAAUAUGGACAGAAGGCUGUCAAAAAUAGUCCAUUUCCUAGGAGUUACUAUCGCUGUACUAAUAGCAAAUGCACAGUGAAGAAGAGGGUAGAGCGUUCCUCUGAAGAUCCCACCAUCGUAAUUACCACAUACGAAGGCCAACAUUGUCAUCAUACCGUUGGAUUCCCUAGAGGUGGAGUGAUUACUCAUGAAGCUGCCCUUGCAGGGCAGUUGACAAAUCCAGUUUCACAAUUUUAUUAUCCAACACUUCAGUUUCCUAGAGAAAAUCCUCUUACCACAACACAACAGUCACAUCAAGCACCCAGCAGCGAAGCAGGAGAGUCCCGGAUAGUGCGACCGCAGACAUCUCAGCUGCUUCCAGAUGAAGGAUUGCUUGGAGACAUGGUGCCUCCUGGGAUGCGUAGCAGAUGAAAGAUGGGAAGAAAAAAAAGGAAUUUGGUGCUAAAAGAUUAUGACGUCUUACGAAGCUGCAUCAAAUACAGGGACAUGCAUGCGGGGAGUGUAGGCAAUAUUUAUAACCUAAAACAUAAUAUAUAGUAGCCAUGCAAAUAAUCGGUUCGAUCUGAAAUUUUUUUUUUGUUUCCGAGAGUGGCAAAAUUGAAAAAGGGAGAGAGAGUAGAUUUAUCUACCUUGCAUGGACCUGAGAAAGUGUUUCCCCACAUGCAUGACUGAUGAGUAGAAUCCGUAUCUCUCAUAUUCAUGCGCAUGCACGUAUAUCAGUGAUUCAAUUUCCAUGCUAAAGGGUUAUGGAGUAUAAACGGGACCCACUAUUUGGGGUAUUAUAUAGGUGUGGGAAUCUAUCAAUUUUGUUUGGAGCUAGUUUGACAGUUAAGUGAUAGAAGAUGUCAUUAACACAUUGC
This is an RNA transcript of Ziziphus jujuba (common jujube), 1652 nucleotides long. It is a transcript of the gene named probable WRKY transcription factor 57, with no coding region annotated. The transcript is spliced from 6 exons. The record is from RefSeq and is a predicted model, not a curated record. Lineage: Eukaryota; Viridiplantae; Streptophyta; Magnoliopsida; Rosales; Rhamnaceae.